UGGGGAAUCUUGCGCAAUGCGCGAAAGCGUGACGCAGCAACGCCGCGUGGAGGAAGACGGCCUUCGGGUUGUAAACUCCUUUCAGUUGGGACGAAGGUUAUCUGGUGAAUAGCCAGCUUAAUUGACGGUACCUUCAGAAGAAGCCCCGGCUAACUACGUGCCAGCAGCCGCGGUAAUACGUAGGGGGCAAGCGUUGUCCGGAAUCAUUGGGCGUAAAGCGCGUGUAGGCGGCCUUGUAAGUCCGUUCUGAAAGUCCGGGGCUCAACCCCGGGAGGCGGAUGGAUACUGCAAGGCUCGAGUACGGAAGAGGCGAGUGGAAUUCCCGGUGUAGCGGUGAAAUGCGCAGAUAUCGGGAGGAACACCAAUGGCGAAGGCAGCUCGCUGGGACGUUACUGACGCUGAGACGCGAAAGCGUGGGGAGCAAACAG
This 428-nucleotide ribosomal RNA is filed under the name uncultured bacterium. Its description in RNAcentral is "bacterial SSU rRNA". It matches the Rfam family "Bacterial small subunit ribosomal RNA", at positions 355 to 775 of the family's 1533-position model. The record is from RNAcentral.